AUUGAACGCUGGCGGCAGGCCUAACACAUGCAAGUCGAGCGGAUGAAGGGAGCUUGCUCCUGGAUUCAGCGGCGGACGGGUGAGUAAUGCCUAGGAAUCUGCCUGGUAGUGGGGGAUAACGUCCGGAAACGGGCGCUAAUACCGCAUACGUCCUGAGGGAGAAAGAGGGGGAUCUUCGGACCUCACGCUAUCAGAUGAGCCUAGGUCGGAUUAGCUAGUUGGUGGGGUAAAGGCCUACCAAGGCGACGAUCCGUAACUGGUCUGAGAGGAUGAUCAGUCACACUAGAACUGAGACGCGGUCCAGGCUCCUACGGGAGGCAGCAGAGGGGAAUAUUGGACAAUGGGCGAAAGCCUGAUCCAGCCAUGCCGCGUGUGUGAAGAAGGUCUUCGGAUUGUAAAGCACUUUAAGUUGGGGGGAAGGGCAGUAAGUUAAUACCUUGCUGUUUUGACGUUACCAACAGAAUAAGCACCGGCUAACUUCGUG
RNAcentral lists this ribosomal RNA (484 nucleotides) under uncultured bacterium. RNAcentral's name for it is "partial 16S ribosomal RNA". It matches the Rfam family "Bacterial small subunit ribosomal RNA", at positions 30 to 507 of the family's 1533-position model. The record is from RNAcentral.